RNAcentral lists this long non-coding RNA (377 nucleotides) under Olea europaea subsp. europaea. The record is from RNAcentral. Lineage: Eukaryota; Viridiplantae; Streptophyta; Magnoliopsida; Lamiales; Oleaceae.
CCGGAUCUUUCAUGUUAAAUCAUCAAGAAAUAUAAGAAUUGAAGCGGAAGCAUACCUGAAUCAGACAUGGUUAAUGCAAUAUGAAUUUCGCGGUAUGAUCUUCCAAAUCUACACGCAGUUUCCUUUUCCUCUCUGCGAUGGGAUGCAGUAGAGAAUGAAUAAUUCGUUGCGUGUGAUUUGGGGACCAUAACCUAUUUAUAUAGGGAUGCCCUUUGACCUAAUUCGGCCCAUCAUAGAAUUAGGACUUGGGCCCGGUCUCUACACAUAUGUAAACCCAUACUUUAACUGGAUACAUUAAAGCCCAAAAUCGAAGCUUUAUCAGAUCACUUUAAUUGGGCUCAACCGAAUUCGAUAGCAUAUAAUUUAACACACAAUUA